Hyla sarda is the source of this 1470-nucleotide long non-coding RNA. RefSeq lists it as uncharacterized. NCBI's taxonomy places the organism in Eukaryota, Metazoa, Chordata, Amphibia, Anura, Hylidae. The record is from RefSeq and is a predicted model, not a curated record. The transcript is spliced from 3 exons.
UCCGCGGCCUAGAUGCUGAUGGUAUGGGACCUGUGAUGAUGUCACUAUCAUGUGACCAUCAUGUGACUGUGCAGGAUAGAUGUAAUAGUGGUGGAAGGACAUGUGUGAUGCUGUGGAGGAGGCGGGCUGAGCUGAUCUGGAGUGGAGGUCGUAUUUCACCCCAGUAGAAGAGUCUCCACUUCUCGAAUGUCAUCCAUUGUAACUUCAUGAGGAAGUACUUCAAAUAGGGAUGUUAGGUACAUAAGGAUUGACUUCUUAUCAGUGACAAGACAGCAAAAAGUUGCAAAUGUGACUUGGGUUGAAUUUUGGAACUUCUACACGCCCUUGACUUGGAGUAAAUGGGUCUGUAAAUUUGCCACUGGAUAAACAUUCGGCACUAUCAAGUAGCUGCAACAUGAAGAAGGGAGCCGGGACCUUUUUGUGAGCUUCUAUAGAAUUCAAUAGAAUGUUGCUUAUCCAUGCAGCAGCUUUCACGGACAAACCUGCAACUACUCUCAACACAAACUGUUUCCCUGAACAUUCUGUAGUUACCUGUAGAAACAUUACAAAAUUUUACAUAUUUGUACAAUAUAUUUAUAUUAUCACCAAACCUCUUUAGGGUACGUGCGCACUACAGAAAUUCAGCCCAAAAUUUCCAAUGGAAAAUUCUGCCUGCAGCAGCCAGGGGUUAUCUAGCUUUAAGAAACUAAGCUGCAGUGACGACUGCUCAGCCAAUCAUCAACUGAGGCAGGAAAUCGCUAGGGCUGGAAAUUGGCGGAGCAGGUCAUCACUGCCAAGACUAGUACGUUCCGGAAGGUCAUUUAGCGGGGAGAGUCAGGCCUCAUUCUGAAGACCACAGGGGGGCCCAGAAGACAGGCCUCACUGCCUCCCCACUUCCCCAUCAGACACUUAUAUCCUAUCCUGUGGAAACAUUUUUAAAAGCUGAAUAGCCCCAUUAUGUACCACCCUAUUCACUACAGCGAAGUCCCUGGACUUCUCGGGCAGACUCCACAGCAAGAUUGAACAAUCUUCUGGCACAAUCAAAUUCCUCUUCAGAAGUUCUGCACGAAAACGGCACACAAGCCUUAAAAAAUUCCUCCCUUCUCACACAUUUAUCCACAUUAUACACACCAUCCACAGCAGGUUCCAAAACCUACUUGCAAUUUACAACAUAGUGGACACCACCCGUAAUAAAACAUUUGUCAAUUCUUUUGUUUCAGAAAAUAAGGCAUAAAACUGCUAAUUUAUAUUAAAGGGGUUGACCCACCAAGGCAACCCCAUCCAAAAAAAUAGCCCCCUUUCCUUGGUAGCCAAUAAACUGAUGUUGGCCUGGUUGCCCAUAUCCCAGGCAAUCAGCUGUUAUGGCUGAAAGUGGUCACACUUUCUCCCUAAAUGAAUAGUAGACUUUUAUAUAUAAACAUAGUAGGAUGUAAUCGUUAUAUAAAUUACAUUGGAUCUUAAUUCCCAAGGUUAUAGCAAAUUCCUCUGUAU